AAGGGCACCACAAGUCGCGUGGAGCAUGUGGCUUAAUUUGACUCAACGCGGGAAAUCUUACUAGAUCAGGACACUUUGAGGAUUGACAGACAGUUAUACCGAACUACGAAUAAUGAAUGGUCCAGGGUAGGCAAAAACUAAUAGCUCUUUUAUGAUUAUGUGAUAGGUGGUGCAUGGCCGUUCUUAGUUCGUGGAGUGAUCUGUCUGCUUAAUUGCGUUUCAAAACAACUGAUACACAGAGUCUUGGCACAGUUCAGUUUAAUGGCGUCGAGUAUCUUUGAUUUCGACAGUAGUCCAACUCGGUUCGCCAGGGUCUCUUUUGAACGCAACGGACGUGAUCGCAACCCUUUGUUGAGUGAUGUCAGCACUCUACGUCUAUCCUAGCUCGUUGAUCGCAAGUGAGAGUUGGGUGGGCAAACUCAGGGGACAGCUUCAACUAUUCUUCUUCAAACUAGAGGAAGGUUGCGGCAAUAACAGGUCUGUGAUGCCCUCAGAUGUUCUAGGCUGCACACGUGCUACAUUGAUCAGCACAAUGCGAUACAUUUCGAAAGGAAACAUCGGUUUUAAGGUAACGUCGAUUGCCUACCGAUAGCACCUGGUCCCCAGUGGACUGGGCAAUCUCUUCUAAAUGCUGGUAAGGUACCCACACUCGAGCUAUUUAAUCACACGCGGGAGGCACACACGGUUCAAAUCUCAUUUGCGACUGUUGCCGCCAUGACGUAUGCAACUUGUCAAUUCUUCGUGGGGAUCGUCGAUUGCAACUAUUCGACUCGCCACAACUAGGAAUGCCUCGUACGGGUCUCGGUUCACCAUACCGCCCGGAAUACGUCCCUGCCCUUUGUACACACCGCCCGUCGCUCUUACCGAUUGAACUAUACUGCGAGUUUGAAGGACCAGGUCUCUGGCACUUGGAAAUUUAGUCAAACAGAGUUGUUUAAAGGAAAGAGAAGUCGUAACAAGGCUUCUGUAGGUGAACCUGCUGAGGAUCA
Molecule: ribosomal RNA, 989 nt
Filed under: Orbulina universa
Lineage: Eukaryota; Foraminifera; Rotaliida; Globigerinidae
Description: SSU rRNA
Rfam family: Eukaryotic small subunit ribosomal RNA
Source: RNAcentral